GUGCUCUUUUCAGCAGCAUACAAAUACUAACAUUGGAAUGAUAAAGAAUUUACAUGGCGCCUGUGCAAGGAUGACAUGGAAAUUCGUGAAGUGUUCCAUUUUUUC
Molecule: small nuclear RNA, 105 nt
Filed under: Saimiri boliviensis boliviensis (Bolivian squirrel monkey)
Lineage: Eukaryota; Metazoa; Chordata; Mammalia; Primates; Cebidae
Source: RNAcentral